Caenorhabditis elegans is the source of this 21-nucleotide non-coding RNA. Lineage: Eukaryota; Metazoa; Nematoda; Chromadorea; Rhabditida; Rhabditidae. The record is from Ensembl.
UGCACAUGUACUUUCUUGUAC